UGGGGAAUCUUGGACAAUGGGGGCAACCCUGAUCCAGCCAUGCCGCGUGAGUGAUGAAGGCCUUAGGGUCGUAAAGCUCUUUCGCCUGUGAAGAUAAUGACGGUAGCAGGUAAAGAAACCCCGGCUAACUCCGUGCCAGCAGCCGCGGUAAUACGGAGGGGGCAAGCGUUAUUCGGAAUUACUGGGCGUAAAGGGCGUGUAGGCGGCUUGAUAGGUCAAAGGUGAAAUCCCUCGGCUCAACCGAGGAACUGCCUUUGAAACCAUCUGGCUCGAGGCUGGGAGGGGGUAGCGGAAUUCCUGGUGUAGCGGUGAAAUGCGUAGAUAUCAGGAGGAACACCAGUGGCGAAGGCGGCUACCUGGACCAGUUCUGACGCUGAGGCGCGAAAGCGUGGGGAGCAAACAGGAUUAGAUACCCUGGUAGUCCACGCCGUAAACGAUGGGUGCUAGGUGUUGGGUAGCUUGCUAUUCAGUGCCGAAGCUAACGCGUUAAGCA
RNAcentral lists this ribosomal RNA (493 nucleotides) under uncultured bacterium. Its description in RNAcentral is "bacterial SSU rRNA". It matches the Rfam family "Bacterial small subunit ribosomal RNA", at positions 355 to 866 of the family's 1533-position model. The record is from RNAcentral.